GUUCUCGAACGAACUCUGAAGUACUAGAAAUUGAAUGUCGAAGCACUUUAUCUUAUUCUUUGAAAAGAAAAACAACAAUGAUGGUAAUUUUAUAGUGUAACAUUACAACCACCUGCCCCAUGCAUAAGGGCUUUUGAAUAGGGAAAAAGGGGGCAGUUACUCUUGAUCCAGGAAUUGGGCGUAGAUUCAAAACAAGGGAAAACCCUUGGGAAUGAUAGCACUUCAUUAGAAUGCCUGGAAGCAGCCUAUCUUCUUCUUUAUCACUCAACUGAGGAAGUGAAAGAAGUAAAACUUUCCCUAUAAGAAUGAAAUAGGGAUUUCUCAUUAAAUUAGACUUUUUUUUGGAAAGAGUUUUCUUCCUCUUCAAUGAAGGGAAUCCAUCCUUCAACUCUUAUAUAAAGAACUCUUGAAAAAGUCU
This 418-nucleotide long non-coding RNA is filed under the name Durio zibethinus. RNAcentral describes it as "long non-coding RNA (DZIB_LNC001861)". Lineage: Eukaryota; Viridiplantae; Streptophyta; Magnoliopsida; Malvales; Malvaceae. The record is from RNAcentral.